UUUAUGGAGAGUUUGAUCCUGGCUCAGGAUGAACGCUGGCGGCGUGCCUAAUACAUGCAAGUCGAGCGAACGGACGAGAAGCUUGCUUCUCUGAUGUUAGCGGCGGACGGGUGAGUAACACGUGGAUAACCUACCUAUAAGACUGGAAUCACUUCGAGACACCGGAGCUA
RNAcentral lists this ribosomal RNA (170 nucleotides) under Staphylococcus aureus. RNAcentral's name for it is "partial 16S ribosomal RNA". It matches the Rfam family "Bacterial small subunit ribosomal RNA", at positions 1 to 165 of the family's 1533-position model. The record is from RNAcentral. Lineage: Bacteria; Bacillati; Bacillota; Bacilli; Caryophanales; Staphylococcaceae.